GCUUAACACAUGCAAGUCGAACGAUGACUUUUGUGCUUGCACAAAAUGAUUAGUGGCAAACGGGUGAGUAACACGUGAGUAACCUGCCCUUAACUUCGGGAUAAGCCUGGGAAACCGGGUCUAAUACCGGAUACAACGGAUCUCCGCAUGGCGGUCCGUGGAAAGCUUGAUGCGGAUUUGGAUGGACUCUCGGCCUAUCAGCUAGUUGGUUGGGGAAAUGGCCCACCAAGGCGACGACGGGUAGCCGGCCUGAGAGGGUGACCGGCCACACUGGGACUGACACACGGCCCAGACUCCUACGGGAGGCAGCAGUGGGGAAUAUUGCACAAUGGGCGACAGCCUGAUGCAACUACGCCGCGUGAGGGACAAAGGCCUUCAGGUUGUAAACCUCUUUCAGCAUGGAAUAAGCUAAAGUGACGGUACCUGCAGAAUAAGCGCCGGCUAACUACUUGCCAUCAGCCUCGGUAAUACGUAGGGCGCAAGCGUUAUCAGGAAUUAUUGCGCGUAAAGAGCUCCUAAGCGGUUUGUUGAAUUUUGUGUUAAAACCCCCGGGUUAACCCCCGGGUGUGCCGUGGGUACGGGCAGAAUAGAGUUGUAUAGGGGAGAAGGGAAUUUCCGGUGUAACGGUUAAAAGGGCAAAUAUCAGGAGGAACCCCCAGGGGGAAGGCAGGUUUUUUGGUAUUAAAUUAACAUGAGGAGCUAAACCCUGGUAAGCGAACAGGAUUAGAUUCCAUGGUAGUCCAUGCCGUAAACGUUGGGCACUAGGUGUGGGGGACAUUACACGUUUUCCGCGCCGUAGCUAACGCAUUAAGUGCCCCGCCUGGGGAGUACGGCCGCAAGGCUAAAACUCAAAGGAGUUGACGGGGGCCCGCACAAGCGGCGGAGCAUGCGGAUUAAUUCGAUGCAACGCGAAGAACCUUUUCAAGGCUUGACAUGAACCGGAAAGGCCUGGAAACAGGUCCCCCACUUGUGUCCGGUUUACAGGUGGUGCAUGGUUGUCGUCAGCUCGUGUCGUGAGAUGUUGGGUUAAGUCCCGCAACGAGCGCAACCCUCGUUUUAUGUUGCCAGCGGGUAAUGCGGGGGACUCAUAGGAGACUGCCGGGGUCAACUCGGAGGAAGGUGGGGAUGACGUCAAAUCAUCAUGCCCCUUAUGUCUUGGGCUUCAGGCAGGCUACAAUGUCUGGUACAAAGGGUUGGGAUACUGGGAGGUGGAGCUAAUCCCUAAAAGCCGGUCUCAGUUGGGAUUGAGGUGUGCAACUCGACUUCAUGAAGUUGGAGUCGUUAGUAAUCGCAGAUCAGCAACGUUGCGGUGAAUACGUUCCCGGUCCUUGCACUCACCGCCCGUCAAG
This 1349-nucleotide ribosomal RNA is filed under the name uncultured bacterium. Its description in RNAcentral is "bacterial SSU rRNA". It matches the Rfam family "Bacterial small subunit ribosomal RNA", at positions 46 to 1401 of the family's 1533-position model. The record is from RNAcentral.